AUUGAACGCUGGCGGCAUGCCUUACACAUGCAAGUCGAACGGCAGCACGGGUGCUUGCACCUGGUGGCGAGUGGCGAACGGGUGAGUAAUACAUCGGAACAUGUCCUGUAGUGGGGGAUAGCCCGGCGAAAGCCGGAUUAAUACCGCAUACGAUCUACGGAUGAAAGCGGGGGACCUUCGGGCCUCGCGCUAUAGGGUUGGCCGAUGGCUGAUUAGCUAGUUGGUGGGGUAAAGGCCUACCAAGGCGACGAUCAGUAGCUGGUCUGAGAGGACGACCAGCCACCGUGGGAGUGAGAACCGGCCCAGACCCCAAGGGGAGGCAGGGGGGGGGAAUUUGGGAAAAGGGGCGAAAGCCUGCUCCAGCAAUGCCGGGGGUGUGAAGAAGGCCUUCGGGUUGUAAAGCCUUUUUGUCCGGAAAAAAAUCCUUGGCCCUAAUACGGUCGGGGGAUGACGGUACCGGAAAAAUAAGCCCCGGCAAACUACGG
This 485-nucleotide ribosomal RNA is filed under the name uncultured bacterium. Its description in RNAcentral is "partial 16S ribosomal RNA". It matches the Rfam family "Bacterial small subunit ribosomal RNA", at positions 29 to 506 of the family's 1533-position model. The record is from RNAcentral.